This 202-nucleotide unclassified non-coding RNA is filed under the name rhizosphere metagenome. RNAcentral's name for it is "partial ribosomal RNA internal transcribed spacer region". The record is from RNAcentral.
GUAGGUGAACCUGCGGAGGGAUCAUUACUGAGUUAGGGAGCAAUCCCGAACCUCCAACCCUUUGUGAACACAUCUUGUUGCUUCGGGGGCGACCCUGCCGUUUCGACGGCAUUCCCCCCGGAGGUCAUCAAAACACUGCAUUCUUACGUCGGAGUAUAAAGUUAAUUUAAUAAAACUUUCAACAACGGAUCUCUUGGUUCUG